RNAcentral lists this ribosomal RNA (542 nucleotides) under Bacillus sp. 4-7. RNAcentral's name for it is "bacterial SSU rRNA". It matches the Rfam family "Bacterial small subunit ribosomal RNA", at positions 53 to 578 of the family's 1533-position model. The record is from RNAcentral. Lineage: Bacteria; Bacillati; Bacillota; Bacilli; Caryophanales; Bacillaceae.
ACAUGCAAGUCGAGCGGAUCUUCAUUAGCUUGCUUUUGAAGAUCAGCGGCGGACGGGUGAGUAACACGUGGGCAACCUGCCUGUAAGACUGGGAUAACUUCGGGAAACCGGAGCUAAUACCGGAUAAUCCUUUCCCUCACAUGAGGGAAAGCUGAAAGACGGUUUCGGCUGUCACUUACAGAUGGGCCCGCGGCGCAUUAGCUAGUUGGUGAGGUAAUGGCUCACCAAGGCAACGAUGCGUAGCCGACCUGAGAGGGUGAUCGGCCACACUGGGACUGAGACACGGCCCAGACUCCUACGGGAGGCAGCAGUAGGGAAUCUUCCGCAAUGGACGAAAGUCUGACGGAGCAACGCCGCGUGAACGAUGAAGGCUUUCGGGUCGUAAAGUUCUGUUGUUAGGGAAGAACAAGUACCGGAGUAACUGCCGGUACCUUGACGGUACCUAACCAGAAAGCCACGGCUAACUACGUGCCAGCAGCCGCGGUAAUACGUAGGUGGCAAGCGUUGUCCGGAAUUAUUGGGCGUAAAGCGCGCGCAGGCGG